AGUAAUAUAUCGGAACGUGCCCUGGAGUGGGGGAUAACGUAGCGAAAGUUACGCUAAUACCGCAUACGAUCUACGGAUGAAAGUGGGGGAUCGCAAGACCUCAUGCUCGUGGAGCGGCCGAUAUCUGAUUAGCUAGUUGGUAGGGUAAAAGCCUACCAAGGCAUCGAUCAGUAGCUGGUUUGAGAGAACGACCAGCCACACUGGGACUGAGACACGGCCCAG
This 222-nucleotide ribosomal RNA is filed under the name uncultured bacterium. RNAcentral's name for it is "partial 16S ribosomal RNA". It matches the Rfam family "Bacterial small subunit ribosomal RNA", at positions 109 to 334 of the family's 1533-position model. The record is from RNAcentral.